UCUGGGCUUUCACUCUGAGAAAGCAGGCAGGAGGUCCUGUAAACAAUAUGGCCUUGAUGCAUGUGGUAUUUUCAGUGGUUUACCGCCUCCACUGAGCCGUGGGUAACUGGCAGCAGCAACAGAGG
Molecule: long non-coding RNA, 125 nt
Organism: Bufo bufo (common toad)
Lineage: Eukaryota; Metazoa; Chordata; Amphibia; Anura; Bufonidae
Exons: 4
Source: RefSeq, a predicted model, not a curated record